Molecule: ribosomal RNA, 172 nt
Filed under: uncultured ammonia-oxidizing bacterium
Lineage: Bacteria
Description: partial 16S ribosomal RNA
Rfam family: Bacterial small subunit ribosomal RNA
Source: RNAcentral
GCCAACCGCUCUGGGAGCAGCCUGAUCAGCCAUUCCGCGUGAGUGAAGAAGGCCUUCGGGUUGUAAAGCUCUUUCGCACGGGAAGAAAACUUAUCGGCUAAAUACUGGGUGAGGCUGACGGUACCUUGAUAAGAAGCACCGGCUAACUACGUGCCAGCAGCCGCGGUAAUAC